UCUAAGAUUCCUCACUAACUUGUGAGGAUCUUUACCGUGCGGUGGUUAUUUAUCCGUGGUCUUUGCUUGGCCGGGAGCCUUAUGCAUUCGCGAGAACCGCCUCUGCGCAUGGAUACGUGGAUAUGUGGUAACGACUUGCCCGAUCAUGAACACCGUGUGUUAUGCUAUUUGUGGAUGUAUGCCGUACGUGUAUGUCUGGGUGUCUACCAACCUGGGAAAGUCUGGGAAUUGGGGCCUUGCUGGAAAACUGUAGGAACUUUGGUAAAACCUGGCUAAUUCAUGGAAACUGGCGGCAGUCUGUGCCACCAUCACAAAAAUAAGCAUUACCCUUGAUCAAUACUCAAAAA
Molecule: long non-coding RNA, 347 nt
Filed under: Rhipicephalus microplus (southern cattle tick)
Lineage: Eukaryota; Metazoa; Arthropoda; Arachnida; Ixodida; Ixodidae
Description: uncharacterized LOC119171508
Source: RNAcentral